This 551-nucleotide ribosomal RNA is filed under the name uncultured bacterium. Its description in RNAcentral is "partial 16S ribosomal RNA". It matches the Rfam family "Bacterial small subunit ribosomal RNA", at positions 355 to 898 of the family's 1533-position model. The record is from RNAcentral.
UAGGGAAUCUUCCACAAUGGACGCAAGUCUGAUGGAGCAACGCCGCGUGAGUGAAGAAGGUUUUCGGACCGUAAAGCUCUGUUGUUGGUGAAGAAGGAUAGAGGUAGUAACUGGCCUUUAUUUGACGGUAAUCAACCAGAAAGUCACGGCUAACUACGUGCCAGCAGCCGCGGUAAUACGUAGGUGGCAAGCGUUGUCCGGAUUUAUUGGGCGUAAAGCGAGCGCAGGCGGAAGAAUAAGUCUGAUGUGAAAGCCCUCGGCCUAACCGAGGAAUUGCAUCGGAAACUGUUUUCUUGAGUGCAGAAGAGGAGAGUAGAACUCCAUGUGUAGCGGUGGAAUGCGUAGAUAUAUGGAAGAAUACCAGUGGCGAAGGCGGCUCUCUGGUCUGCAACUGACGCUGAGGCUCGAAAGCAUGGGUAGCGAACGGGAUUAGAUACCCUGGUAGUCCAUGCCGUAAACGAUGAGCGCUAAGUGUUGGGAGGCUUCCGCCUCUCAGUGCUGCAGCUAACGCAUUAAGCACUCCGCCUGGGGAGUACGACCGCAAGGUUGAA